CUUGUGUCCUUGUGUCUCCACAGAGCGUGAUGUGUUCUUCAGAGCGUUGUUUGAACGUCAUGAGUCGGAGGAUGAAAGUGACUCAGGAAACAUCGCCCUGGCCGUGUGUCUGUCGGUGGCCAUCUUGGCUCUGUUGGCCGUCCUGACCUACUGCUUCCUGAAGUCCAGGAAGGAGCGCUCCCAUAGGCCGGUGGCCACAGGCCCCGCCCACGUGGCGCUGUCGGAGCAGGACACGCUGGUUUACAACAGCACCACCAAACCUGUGUGAGGACCACCGGACUGGACUCUUAUCGAUGACGUCAUCGUGAUCCAUCAGCUAUUCGGUUCUACUUUGUGUGUGUGUGUGUGUGUGUGUGUGUGUGUGUGUGUGUGUCUGUGUGUGUGUUGGGUUCUCUUUGAUCUAUUUAUGAAUAUUAUGUGUUUGGGUCUCAGGUUCAGAAUGUAAAUAUCUUUAUUAUGUUUUUAAACCUUUCACAUGUUAUGAAUACAUAAAUACAUAUAAUAAAGAGUAAUUGAACA
Molecule: long non-coding RNA, 519 nt
Organism: Anarrhichthys ocellatus (wolf-eel)
Lineage: Eukaryota; Metazoa; Chordata; Actinopteri; Perciformes; Anarhichadidae
Exons: 2
Source: RefSeq, a predicted model, not a curated record